This 1623-nucleotide ribosomal RNA is filed under the name Jenkinsia sp. CL54. Its description in RNAcentral is "16S rRNA". It matches the Rfam family "Bacterial large subunit ribosomal RNA". The record is from RNAcentral. Lineage: Eukaryota; Metazoa; Chordata; Actinopteri; Clupeiformes; Clupeidae.
GCCCUAAAGCGGGCCCAUUCAUGCGCAUAACUUUUAAUUACAUAUAUCCGCCCCCCCGCCCCACAAUUAAACCAUUUUUCCUCCCCAGUAGGGGUGACCGAACAGGACCUUGGAGCCAUACUGUUAGUACCGCAAGGGAAAGCUGAAAGAGAUUUGAAACAGAUCAUCAAGCAUCCCAAAGCAGUGCCGAGCACCCGUACCUUUUGCAUCAUGAUCUAGCUAGCCCACCGGGGCAAGGAGCCCCCUAGUCCCCCAACCCGAAACCUGUCGAGCUACCCCGGGGCAGUCUGUAGAAGGACCAACUCGUCUCUGUGGCAAAAGAGUGAGAAGACCCCCAGGUAGAGGUGAUAGACCUACCGAGUCAGGUUAUAGCUGGUUGCUCGAGAAUUGAAUAUCAGUCCAGCCCCCCCAGCCCCUUUCUACCUUAGCGCUGCUACAAAAGUCCAGGGCCACACAGGGGAGUCAGUCAAGAGAGGUACAGCUCUCUUGAUCAGGGAGUCAACCCCGCCAGGAAGCCAAGACGCCAAGGCCCGGGCUUUAGUGGGCCUGGAAGCAGCCACCUACCCAGAAAGCGUUACAGCUCAAGCCCUACUCCGCCUAUUAUCACCCGAUUCAACGCAAUGCUCCUAAAACUAUCGAGCCGUUCUAUGACCUCAUAGAAGUAUUUAUGCUAGAAUGAGUAACAAGGGGCAAAGACCCCCUCCUGAAUCAAGUGUAAGUCGGCCUGGACACACCUCCGAUCAUUACCGGCCCCAAUUAAGAGGGUAUUUGGACCCACCAGAACACCUAGAAGUACCCCCCAUCCCCGCCGUUAUCCCCACACUGGUGAUUUAAUAGGACAGAUUUAAAGAGAAGAAAGGAACUCGGCAAACCUAAACCUCGCCUGUUUACCAAAAACAUCGCCUCCCGACCACCCCACAUGCGAGGUCCCGCCUGCCCCGUGACAACAGUUUAACGGCCGCGGUAUUUUAACCGUGCAAAGGUAGCGCAAUCAAUUGUCUUUUAAAUGAAGACCUGUAUGAAUGGCAUAACGAGGGUUUUGCUGUCUCUCUUCUCAGACCAGUGAAAUUGAUCUUCCCGUGCAGAAGCGGGUAUUCCUACACAAGACGAGAAGACCCUAUGGAGCUUCAGAAGUUUGGCAGCCGUCGCCAGCGAGCCCCCUAACCACCACGGCAGUGCCAUCUCUUCUUCGGUUGGGGCGACCACGGGGGAUAAAAAAGCCCCCGAGCAGACAUUAUGACUAAGGACCACCACCCGCAGCAUCAAGACUCUUGACUGACACUGAUCCGGCCAAGGCCGAUCAACGGACCAAGUUACCCUAGGGAUAACAGCGCAAUCCUCUCUCAGAGUCCCUAUCGAAGAGUGGGUUUACGACCUCGAUGUUGGAUCAGGACAUCCCGAUGGUGCAGCCGCUAUURAGGGUUCGUUUGUUCAACGAUUAAAGUCCUACGUGAUCUGAGUUCAGACCGGAGCAAUCCAGGUCAGUUUCUAUCUGUGACGCGACUGCUCCCGGUACGAAAGGAUCGGAGUGGUGGGGCCUAUGUUCCAGGCAAGCCCCCUCCCUCCCCAAUGACCUCAUCUCAAUUGGCUAUGGGAAGCCCCCAGAGCCAGGAGAUAUUUGCG